UAUAGAUUUUUUAUAAAUUUUUUCCAAACAUUACAAACAAUUGUAUAGAUUUUUUAUAUUAUCUUUGUGAAGAAGAAAGGGAGGCCACGAAAGUAUGAAUCAGAUGGUAACUUGAGACUACCAUCUAUAUCAUCACCACCACCAGGUUUUUCUUUCUCACCUCCUUUUCCUUCUUCUUUUGAGUCCUCUUCUUCCAAAAGGGGUCGUGGCAGACCACUUCAUUCUGGUAAUUGCCAGCUGCGUGCUUCUUUAGGUGAGUUCAAAUCAAGCCUUUAAAUCAACUUUUUCCCUUGAGAUUGAUAAUUUAGUUGUGUACAACCUUUUCCUUUGCUGCAUAUUGGAACACAUUGAAAACAGUAAGUAUGGUUUAACUUGAUUUUUAUUUUUUUUGAAGUACAUUAGUUAGUGUGAUUUGUAGGUUGUGGAUGAAGUCUUAACGAGGCGGAAAGAGACUGAAUGGUUCAUUGAAGGAGACUUUGAUGCGUAUGUCGAAAGAAUUCGAAAACCUUAUGUAUGGGGUGGAGAGCUUGAGUUGCUGAUGGCAUCCCAUCUUCUCAAGUGAAUUCUAUUCACUGUUUCAGUGAAGCAUUUAUGUUGUCCUUAU
Camellia sinensis is the source of this 604-nucleotide non-coding RNA. The record is from RefSeq and is a predicted model, not a curated record. NCBI's taxonomy places the organism in Eukaryota, Viridiplantae, Streptophyta, Magnoliopsida, Ericales, Theaceae.